UAAGUUGAUUCUUUUCUUUGUCAUUUAUAAUUUUAAUCUUUUUCCAUUUAAAUCCAUGUUCCCCAUUUUUCUGCAGUCUGGGAAAGUGUCCCACAUUUUUAGAGGCCAGAAAAUUGAUUUUGUGUGUGUGUGUGUGUGUGUCUGUUCCACUCUUUAAUAAUUUCAAUGCAGAUCUAAAUUUGAGUUUUGGGGUUUUUUUGUUUGGUCAAGUCUAUGCUCACCUUGCCCUGCUCUCUUCUUACACUCUAUGAAUGCUUUUUAAUUUUUGCAAUCUGCAAGACUAAGGUCAGUCCAAAUAUCCUAAUUACAAAAUAAUCUCAAUUCCCUAGAAAGCUGGUUAUGUACGAUGAAGAUCUAGAACCUUUUCCAAAUGAUUCUUUAGAAAGAAAUUCUGUUUUAAAUGCUUCCCCUUUUCGAAGUUAAGGAACAGGUAAACCUAGAGAUUUCUGUAUCCUACUUGUCUUUCUCUGAAAAGCAGUUCCUUGCUGUGAACCAUUUACACUUCUAUAGAUAACCCAUACAGAAUUAGAAAAACAUUUUGAAGGACUAUAUUUGUCUCAGCCUUGAAAUAGGUUUGAUUCUCAGACCAGAUUAGCCCAUGCUGAGACAGAAGGCAGAGGGUUGAGUUAGAGCAGGAUCUUACCCAGGCAAAGUCUAUGGAAAGCCCCAUACCUCUCAGGACCUAUAUUUUCCUACUGAAAGCCACACGUUCAAUCAGUAGUUGCCAUUGGAUCAAUAUACCCAAUGUGACCCUCCUUCCACGCGUCUUACAAGGCCCAAGGUAGGGAAUGAUUAGUUAGGCACAAGGCUUGCCUGAGGAAGGAUGGUUAAUGAUGGAGGCUUAUGGGGGAAGAAUAAGAUUUUGCUCAUCACUCCAAGAGAUGGCAGUGUGAUUACUUAUACAGAGUGUAAGUAUCAUGCAAGUUCUGUAGUGAAAGGGAUGAAUCAUGCGGGACAGAGACGGAAGGUAAGAAGUCACAGGAAUGAUACCAUUUCAGGAAAAUAGCCACUCCCAUUGUUUUGUUUUUUAAAAAUUUUAUUUAAAUUCAGUUUGCCAACAUAUAGUAUAACACCCAGUGCUCAUCCCAUCAAGUGCCCCCCCUCAGUGCCUAUCAUCCAGUCUCCCCAUCCCCCUACCCACCUCCACUUCCACAACCCUUUAUUUAUAUCCCAGAGUAAGGAGUCUCUCAUGGUUUGUCUUCCUCUCUAAUUUUUCCUCAUUCAGGUUCCCUCCUUCCCAUAAGGCCCCUUCGACUAUUUCUUAUAUUCCACAUAUGAGUGAAACCAUAUAAUUAUCUUUCUCUGAUUGACUUACUUCACUCAACAUAAUACCCUCCAGCUCCAUCCAUGUCAAAGCAAAUGGUGGGUAUUCUGAAGGCUGAGUCAUAUUCUAUUGUGUAUAUAGACCACAUCUUCUUUAUCCAUUCAUUUGUCGAAGGACAUCGUGGGUCCUUCCACAGUUUGGCUACUGUGGACAGUGAUGCUUUGAACAUUGGGGUGCAGGUAUCCCAUCAUUUCACUACCUCUGUAUCUUUGGGAUAAGUACCCAGUAAGCAACUCCCAUUUUGUGAUUGCUCUGUACUUUAUACCCAUUAUUUUGCUUACAUGUCCUAAUGCUUUCACAUGGCCAUGGGGAAGGCUGAGCAAGCAUUCAGAACUCCGGUUUGAGAAGACAGAUGGGACUAUGACCAUCCAAGCAGCAUGCCUGACAAGUUCCUAACCAGGUGGUAUCUCCAUUCUUCCAUUUGCAGAUGGGGUGACACGAACGCCUAUGGAAUGUGGUUGUCAUACAGUUGUAAAGGAUUCAUGCGGGUUGGGCAGCUGACAAUGAGCCCAGCACACUCUGUGUGCUAAACCAUUCCAAUUGCCCAGACUCAGAAAUUUCAGCUUAGCGGGUAAAAAGAUGCGUGCGACUUUAUGAGCCAAGCACAUAGGAGAGCCAUAAAGUGUUUUGGGGACUUCACCUAGGGGACAGGAACAAAGAAAGAAAUUUACUUGGGAAAAAAAAA
RNAcentral lists this long non-coding RNA (2009 nucleotides) under Canis lupus familiaris (dog). Its description in RNAcentral is "lncRNA (ENSCAFG00000056172.1)". The record is from RNAcentral. Lineage: Eukaryota; Metazoa; Chordata; Mammalia; Carnivora; Canidae.